This 20-nucleotide ribosomal RNA is filed under the name uncultured Inocybe. RNAcentral describes it as "partial 18S ribosomal RNA". The record is from RNAcentral. Lineage: Eukaryota; Fungi; Basidiomycota; Agaricomycetes; Agaricales; Cortinariaceae. RNAcentral also lists the same sequence under 1 other name.
CUGCGGAGGAUCAUUAUCGA